Molecule: long non-coding RNA, 665 nt
Organism: Cyprinus carpio (common carp)
Lineage: Eukaryota; Metazoa; Chordata; Actinopteri; Cypriniformes; Cyprinidae
Source: RefSeq, a predicted model, not a curated record
AGCCUCUUCCCUUUUGCUUUAGUCUGCUGAGAGCACACAUUCUUCUUCACACAACCCAAACUCUUUGCAACUUCAAGACAGCUGUGGCUGCGAGGAUAGAGCAGAAAUAAGGCGGAGAUGACUGGCAUAAAGUGCGUGGCUGAUAUACAGAUGAACAUCUGACAUGCCAGGGGAAGGAGGAGUACUGUGCAUGCUGUACUGUGGAUUUGACAAGCAGAUAGUCUCAGUGCUUGGGUGUGGUGCGAAAACAGGCGGUGCAUGAUGGUGUGAUCUAGCAUGUGGAUGUGGGUCGGAGAAUCAGUGGCUGAUCAUUAGGGCACUAAGUGUAAACAGCAGCAGGCCCACAGGUGAAGACCUAACGUGGCCUCCUCACAGAAGAUCAAUAGCCCAUCCACAGAGAGCAGCACACAUGCACAACACAUAUCCUUAGCAACAGUCUUUGAGAUCCACCACCAGAUUUCCCAUUAAAAAUGAGCAUUCUGUCAUUAUUUACUCAUUGUUUAUUUACUAGUGAAAGAGAAGGGGCUCUCAAACUCCACAAUGACAAGAAAGCAUCAUAAAAGUCAGUCAUAUGACACACACACACACACACACACACACACACACACACACACACACACACACACACACACACACACACACACACACACACACACACACACACA